CCGGUCAUGGCGGAAUGGUAGACGCGCCAGCUUGAGGGGCUGGUGGGGCUUAGCCCUGUGGAAGUUCGACUCUUCUUGACCGGA
RNAcentral lists this transfer RNA (84 nucleotides) under Atopococcus tabaci. It matches the Rfam family "tRNA". Rfam says of the family: Transfer RNA (tRNA) molecules are approximately 80 nucleotides in length. The record is from Rfam by way of RNAcentral. Lineage: Bacteria; Bacillati; Bacillota; Bacilli; Lactobacillales; Carnobacteriaceae.